CAAAAGCACUUUCCAUUUCCUUUUCUUCUUCUUCUUCUUCUUCUUCUUCCCUGUUAAAUCAUCAUCAUAUUAGUUGGGUUUUUCGUAUGGAUUUUAUUAGGACAGAGUGAUAUGGUAAUGUUUUUCUAAAUCUAAUAACAUUUCAACAUUACCUGUGUCAGAUAUAUGUAUAUACAGGUAUAUAUAUCUCUGACACUCGUCCUAACUCAUCAUCAUCGUUCAUAUCAAUCCUGAUAAGGUUUGCAUUGCAAGGUUUUUUUUUUUUGUGAACCUUGUGGAAAUCCAGUCCUAGAGCAAAUUUCUGGAAAAAAUGACUGCAAUUGUAAAUCCAUUUCCCAGAGUACAAAGGAAUUUGAAAGGGUUUAUAAGAGUGCUCAAGUUUGCUGCUUGUGAAUGGAUUCUAAUCUUUUUAUUGUUCAUUGAUGCUGCCUUCUCUUACAUGGUCACAAGUUUUGCACAGUACUGUGAAUUGCAAAUCCCUUGCAUUCUAUGCUCUCGGCUUGAUCAUGUUUUCGGCAAUGCAAAAGAUGGAUUCUAUCGGACUCUGUUUUGCCGAAGUCAUAGAUCAGAGAUUUCAUUCUUGCUUUCCUGCAACAUCCAUGACAAGCUCGUCGAUAGCAGUGGCAUGUGCGAUGAAUGUCUCGCGUCGCAUGUCGAGGGAAAUGAAUCAAACUCCGAUAUGAAGAGACUCGUUUCAGGAAAUUUGGGUUAUGAUGGAAAUUGUUGUUCUCAAGUAGAUGAGGAUCUUACAUCUGCCUACAAAUUCACACGGUUGUGCCUAUGCUGUAAUAAACCAUGGAUUCCAAGACCAAGUUCCAAUAGAUCACUUCUCCUGAAAUCAUCCACGUCGGUUUCGAAGCCCAGCAUUCCUUUGCCUCGUAGCUUAAGUCCUAUAAAUGACUUGAAGAAGAUGAACGACACGGUUCCUAGGAAAACUGGAUUUGAGCACUUGUCUCACGUAGGAGACACUGAGGUGAAGAUCAGUUCUGAAUCCAAAUCCGCGUUCCCGGCUACUGAUAACGAUACUGGCGAUAGCAUAAAUCGUAAUAUAAACGAGAACAAAAAAGAACAGGCUGAUGAUCCUAAUGAAUCUCUUGAUCUUAGAUGCUUGGUUCCAGAGAUCGAGAAUGUGCUCAGUGAGCAUAAAGUGAAGGCUAAUUUUAAUGAACUACCUGAGCUUAUUUCUCUAGAUAAUUAUCCUCCUACAUCCUGUCUUAUGGAAGUUCCAAGUUUCAGUGCCUCAUUAUUAGCAGCUGAUUUUAUUUCUCAGGUUGAUGCUUCCAAUUCAAUUAAUGCUAAGGAUGUUCCUCUUGAACCAGAUAAUGAAAAUGUUUCUGUCAAUAAGAAUGAUGAGAUCUUGAAGUUGAUAAGUACGACAACCGGAGCUUGUUUCGAAACCAAUCAAGUUGCGGAUGAUACUGCCAUGCUAAAUUCGACCGAUGGAGAUCCGAGUGAACCUGAGUUUGUAACAAAACAUAUGCUAACAAACAAUAAUGGAGUUAAUGAAGAUCAUAAGUCAUUGCCAGUGGAGACUGUUUUUGAACCAAGUAAAACUGAGAGUGAUGAAAUCUCUAAGUUGAUAAGCUCGUCAACUCAAGCUGUUUUCGGAACUGACCGACUUGAGGAUGAUACCGCCAUCGUAAAUUCAACCGAUGGGGAUCGGAGUGCGGUGCAGGAGCUACCAGUCUGUGGUGAAGAAAAAAGUGCAUCCGAGUUUGUUACUGAACCUACGAAUGGAGUUAAUGGAGAAGUUAAGUCAUUGCCGGGGCAGAGCACUUCUAGAGAAGGGAUUCAUUUAUCAUUGAACAACUUAAGUCCUGAGUUACAAGAUCGUGCAGUUGAAUUGCUAAGAUCCGAAUCCAACUCCGAAGAGGUUCGGAAUCUUCAGAACCUGUUCUUUGAAGCAAUAAAUGACUCGCCUGGCCUCAAAUAUUUCGAAGAAAGCAGCGUCAUCGACGGCGAAAAUCCACUUGAUACGCUGAAACAAGAAGUUGACAAUUACAGGAACUACAUAAAUGCAUUAUCCAAAGAACUAGAUGAAGAAAGGAAUGCUUCUGCAAUUGCUGCAAAUCAGGCAAUGGCUAUGAUCACAAGGUUGCAAGAAGAAAAAGCAGCACUCCGUAUGGAAGCCCUGCAGUACCUAAGGAUGAUGGAAGAGCAAGCCGAAUUCGAUGUUGACGCCUUGGAGAAAGCUAACGAUCUUCUGACUGAAAAAGAGAAAGAAAUACAAGAUUUGGAAGCAGAGCUUGAAUAUUACAAAUAUAACUUCCCUGAUGAAACAUCGGAAGAGACCGAACCCGAGGCGAACAUCAACUUAGACAAGGAACAUGUUUCUAUGGAGAACAACACAAGCACAUGUUCCAAGCAAGAUGAUAUGAAAUAUCCCUUGGAAACAAUGUUGCCCGAGGCUAGUACCGUCGUUGACGAUCAUCCCGUAGUCAUAACCGCAUGGUCGGAAAUCGAAGAUGAGAAGUCGUACAUCUCUCAGUGGCUACAAAAGUUGGAGAAGAAACUUAACAUGCUUGCUCAGUAUGGGACAUCAUCGCCACAAAACUCUGAUGGAGGCCGAGAAGAAAAGGAUCAUACACCAGUACAGGAAGCUUCAUCAAUAGCUAAUGGAACCGGUGUUUUCCAAGAAACUUCAAUAAGCAAAGAUGAAGAAGAAAAUGGUGAUACGGUUUCCAAUGGGCAGGAAGGUUCAGAAGAUUGUGGAGAAAUUAGCUUAGAUGCUCUUGAAAAUGAAAUUGCAGAACUUAAUGAGAGGUUGGAAGCACUUGAAACUGACUGUAGUUUUCUUCAACGUUCUCUAAAUGCUCUCAAAAAUGGAAAAAAGGGGCUGCUAUUAAUUCAAGAGAUACUUCAUCUGUUACGAGAAGUAAAGAAAUUUGGGUUAAAGACAAUGAACCUUUCUGUUUUAUGAGCUCAAUGUGGACAGACUGCGUAUCAUCAUUACAGAAGAUGUGUCCCAAAUUGAGGGCAACUGACCAGAAGCAGAAGCGAGGCAUGUCAGCAUGAGAUAUGAAACAAACAUUGCAGAACACAGAACUGGUUAUCUCUCAGCUUAUAAAGAAAAUGGGAGUUGUCAUAGAAAGAUUUAGUAUUGAAGAUGGAUAAUUAGUUUUUCGCAUGCGUUUAUUUCGAUAGAGUAAAUCUGACCACAACAAUUGGAUGUACAUUUGAAUGUCACCAACAAAUAGCAAUGAGAUUUAAUAGAAAUAUCUCGUUUGAUGAUACGAAAGGAAUGAAUAGUGCAAAAAUUGUUAGACAUUGUGGUAAAAGGAUCUCGAAACUUUUCUAUAAGUUUCCAGUUUCGAUAGAUCCCAUUAAAUUCAUCGAGAUGAAACUUCUAGACGAUGGAGACAGUGGUCGCUCUUUAUUGUGGGAAUCAGGGCGACCAAAAUGCACCAGUUCAGUUACUUGCUGAGUUAGUUAAUGUGGAGAGAACUGAAGAUCUCACUCCAUUAGGUGAAGAACAUGGAGCUCAAGAGCCGUGUUUGAUGGUUCCAAUAUCGUAUGUUUAUAGUUAAUCGACUGUAUGUGGAAUCGAUAUUAAUCUUAAUGUUGCACCCGAGACUGAUGCGAUUGGUGAUGAUGGAUGCGGUAGUAGUGAUCCUUUUGAUCAUGAGGUCGAUAGUGAUAGUAAUCCCAAUAUGGACGAGGUUUCGGAUGAUAUUGACAAUAAAGGUGUGAAUGAUAAUAGAAAUGUUAACGCGUCUUCAUUCGGGAGCUAGAUUCGACGUAUUGUAAUACAGAAUAAUCUUGGGGCAUGCAUGUCGCUUAUAGACCCUGAUGCGACGUAUACAACCAAGUUCCCGAAAUAUCCUGAUAUAUUACCUGCUCACCUUAUGACCGUAGAUUCUGAUCCUAAUGAGUUGUUCGUGGGCCAAAAAUUCAAAAGCAAGGAAGAGUGCAUAUUUGCCAUUAAGCGGUAUAGCAUGAAUGUGUCAGUGGACUACAAAGUCGCCGUGUUUAAACCAACAUUAUAUAUUGGGGAGUGUUGGAGGUCGAUGAAAGGCUACAAUUGGUGGGUACGAGUCAAGAAUGGCAUUCGGUAAAGAGCCCAAGACUGCAGCAAUAUGAGGCAUCCACCUAUGUCCACGGCAGAAGGCUUUGUCAUCCGACAAAACUCGCUAUACAACAUAGUUAGUACUACGGAACCCCAACUAUAAGAAUAAACAUUACGCAAAUAAGUUAAUAGGGGUAAGUACAUCAAAUGGAUCUUAUUGUUGUUUACAUUUGGCAUGAAUACACCCCCUAUAAUGUGCAUAAUGUAUGUUCGAGUGGUACACAUCACCUCCCACUCAGUGGAAUUAAUUGAUAAAUGCUUAAAAUUGGCCU
RNA transcript from Gossypium arboreum, 4338 nucleotides. It is a transcript of the gene named myosin-binding protein 1-like, with no coding region annotated. Lineage: Eukaryota; Viridiplantae; Streptophyta; Magnoliopsida; Malvales; Malvaceae. The record is from RefSeq and is a predicted model, not a curated record. The transcript has 4 exons.